UACGAAGGGGGCUAGCGUUGCUCGGAAUCACUGGGCGUAAAGCGCACGUAGGCGGAUUGUUAAGUCGGGGGUGAAAUCCUGGAGCUCAACUCCAGAACUGCCUUCGAUACUGGCGAUCUUGAGUCCGGGAGAGGUGAGUGGAACUGCGAGUGUAGAGGUGAAAUUCGUAGAUAUUCGCAAGAACACCAGUGGCGAAGGCGGCUCACUGGCCCGGUACUGACGCUGAGGCACGAAAGCGUGGGGAGCAAACAGG
RNAcentral lists this ribosomal RNA (253 nucleotides) under uncultured bacterium. RNAcentral describes it as "partial 16S ribosomal RNA". It matches the Rfam family "Bacterial small subunit ribosomal RNA", at positions 524 to 776 of the family's 1533-position model. The record is from RNAcentral.